This 1571-nucleotide long non-coding RNA is filed under the name Capra hircus (goat). RNAcentral's name for it is "lncRNA (ENSCHIG00010009144.1)". Lineage: Eukaryota; Metazoa; Chordata; Mammalia; Artiodactyla; Bovidae. The record is from RNAcentral.
CCUAAUUAAGAUGAAUAUUAUUCCUGUGAAAUGAACCAAAAAGUUGUUUGAAACCGGAAAUCCCAAAAGAGAUCUAUAGUCUUCAGGAAUAAUUGCAUGCAAUUUUAAUUGAAAGAAAAGGAGAGGCCUAUUUUCAUCUUUCUCCUUUUAAAAUGUUAAAAGUAAUCAACCUGUUGGUCAAUUAACAAUGCUUUAAUAUAACUAUCAAUCUGACCUAAAAAUUGACAUUAGAUAUUUUGGAAACUGUUGUGGAAUUUAAAAAAAUAAAUGGCAAAAUGACUACUGGCUAUAGUUAAAUCCAUUAUGGAACUUUUAUCAUUAAUGAAAUAAAGUUAUGAAUUUUUACUAAUGUCCUUAGAAAUAUAGUACAUUUUAUUGUUAAUUGAAGAUUAGAUGCUAUGACUAUUCACAGAAAUAUACACUCAAUCUUUGUUCAUUGAGAAUGAAAGAGGAGAUCUAUUUUUUUGAAAUAGAGAUUAAUUACACUGAUAAAUUUGCUUUAUAUAAAUAGUUGGCAUUUAUCUCCAACCUAUUAAAAAUUUUUAAUAACAUUAAAGAGUUAUUCUGUUUUAAAGUUCAGUUUUAACAGAUACAUGUCAACAAAAUAUAUGUUUACAUUUCAAGUCAUUUCGUAUAGUAAUUCAGAACUUUGGCUGUUUAAAGUUGCACACUUAGAAAUACUUUGAAUAAGCAGAUGUAUUUAUUUAAUGGUUUCUCACAUCGACUCUACUCUUGAUUAUGGGCAAGAGGUUGAUUUUGUCUAUCAUCUGUCUAAAAUGUCAUGUUAGUUGUGCUAAAGAUACUAUAGAGUGGAUUAAAAAGAUAACAUUAUAAAUNNAAACUUUUGAUUCCCCCAGUAUUUCAGGGCUUCCCGGUGGCGCUAGUGGUAAAGAAGCUGCCUGCCAGUGCAGGAGGCAUAAGAGACGUGGGUUCUAUCCUUGGGUUGAGAAGAUUGCUCUGGAGAAGGAAAUGCCAACCCACUCCAGUAUUCUUGCCUGGAAAACCCCAUGCACAGAGGAGCUUAGUGGGCUAUAUAGUCCAUGCGUUUGCACGGAGUCAAACACAACUGAAGGGACUUAGCACCAGUAUUUCAGAUUAGCAUUCGGGCANNNNNNNNNNNNNNNNNNNNNNNNNNCCAUAUACAAAUAGGUAUGAAUUUGGCCCUCCAUUCUUUAGAAGAAGCUGAUGUUAGAUUUUCUCUCACAUACUAUAAUUCAAAGCAAAGUGAGAAAAUUCAGGUUAAAAUUUUAGAUACAUCUUAAAAAUGGUAUUAUGGUCAAAAUAGUUAAUCCCUCAUUUACAGAAUAUAAUUUAGAUCAAUGUAAGUGAAUUUUGCAGAUGAAUGAAAUUUACUCUUUUAAUCAUUAAAACCUUUUUCUUUGUAACAACUUCAAAGUCUCCCAGUAUUAUCUCAUGUUCUGUGUAGUAAGUUUAAGGAUAUACUAUUUUGUUGCAAAAUUCCAGGGCUGGAAAAGAAUUUAGAUUUUAUUAAAAAUCUUCCAGUAUGACUGUUUUAUUUAACAGAUCCGGAGUUUUAAACCCAAGUUUAUGGUACAUCUUACUCAAUAUCA